This 380-nucleotide ribosomal RNA is filed under the name uncultured eukaryote. RNAcentral's name for it is "partial 18S ribosomal RNA". It matches the Rfam family "Eukaryotic small subunit ribosomal RNA", at positions 592 to 976 of the family's 1831-position model. The record is from RNAcentral.
CAAUAGCGUAUAUUAAAGUUGUUGCGGUUAAAAAGCUCGUAGUUGGAUUUCUGCCGAGGACGACCGGUCCGCCCUCCGGGUGAGUAUCUGGCUCGGCCUGGGCAUCUUCUUGGAGAACGUAGCUGCACUUGGCUGUGUGGUGCGGUAUUCAGGACUUUUACUUUGAGGAGAUUAGAGUGUUUCAAGCAGGCACACGCCUUGAAUACAUUAGCAUGGAAUAAUAAGAUAGGACCUCGGUUCUAUUUUGUUGGUUUCUAGAGCUGAGGUAAUGAUUAAUAGGGAUAGUUGGGGGCAUUCGUAUUUAACUGUCAGAGGUGAAAUCCUUGGAUUUGUUAAAGACGGACUACUGCGAAAGCAUUUGCCAAGGAUGUUUUCAUUGA